Leptinotarsa decemlineata (Colorado potato beetle) is the source of this 1001-nucleotide long non-coding RNA. The record is from RefSeq and is a predicted model, not a curated record. NCBI's taxonomy places the organism in Eukaryota, Metazoa, Arthropoda, Insecta, Coleoptera, Chrysomelidae.
ACCGGCACAACCGUCCUCUGUCACGAUCGGAGAGGUAGUUGAAUCAUUUGAUAACCUGACAUUCAGUCAUUUUUUUCAUUAUUAUUCGAAAGAAUAAAAACAAUACACGCGUCUUCCUUACGUGUGAGGUGUCUAUCCGAGUAGAAAAUAUGUUCUGGAACCAUAUGGUACAGUCGGUGCACACCUUUGUGUACGUGGAAAACCACUUGGUAAAUUUCAAAUUCGUAGAUGAAAGUGAGGUUAGGCCUAUCUCAGAAAUAUUUUUUAAAACUUUCCUGCUAUAAAUUUUGAAAUUGGUAGAUGCUCAAAAUCAGUGUUCUGAAUGGCUUCUACAGCAGGGAAAUAUAAACGUAUGUUGCAACUACUUGAUAAAUGGCCUGCAGAUAAAAACAAGUCCAAUGGCAGGGAUAUCGGAGACUAUUUGAGAAAGUACUUGAGCUCUGCUCUUGAAGAAAAUAAAUUCCAAGGAAACUCCUCAUACUGGGACAGACAAUAUCUAGCAGUUCAGAAACUAGUCAGUAACGCUCACAAAAGUAAAUACAAGCGAGCAGCCUCUUCUUCUGCGACAGGCCUUUCUGCAGAGGAAUGUAACGCCAUUCUAUCCGAUGAGUGCUUGAAUGAAAUAAAAAAACAGGAAAAAUCAUUUUUCAGGAGUCUCAUAUCACUAAAGUAACAGAUUGGCUGUUAUUCGUAGGAUGAGAUGCAUUCUGUUAUGAUUCCACAAAAGAGGUGGAUAGUUCCAGUCAUGAAAACUUCCAAAGUACAGCAUCGACAAUGAAUUAGUGUUACAUAAUAGCAUACCUUUUACCAAAGUAUAUGAUUAACACAAUUUUAGAGUUAUUUAUAAAUGAUUUUAUGUCUCAUUUUGUUAUCCACUAAUUUCUCAACUAAUUUUUGGAGUGCCGAGUACUAAAAUGUGAUUUUUUUAAAUGUUUUGAUGUAAUUAUGUCUGAAAUUACUUAUUUCAAAUUAAAGUUUUUUCUUCCUGUUUGCAUCUGAAA